AAGUCGAACGGGUAACAGGUUAAGCUGACGAGUGGCGAUCGGGUGAGUAAUAUAUCGCGAACGUGCCCAGUCGUGGGGGAUAACUGCUCGAAAGAGCAGCUAAUACCGCAUACGACCUGAGGGUGAAAGCGGGGGAUCGCAAGACCUCGCGCGAUUGGAGCGGCCGAUAUCAGAUUAGGUAGUUGGUGGGGUAAAGGCCCACCAAGCCAACGAUCUGUAGCUGGUCUGAGGGGACGACCAGCCACACUGGGACUGAGACACGGCCCAGACUCCUACGGGAGGCAGCAGUGGGGAAUUUUGGACAAUGGGCGCAAGCCUGAUCCAGCCAUGCCGCGUGCGGGAAGAAGGCCUUCGGGUUGUAAACCGCUUUUGUCAGGGAAGAAAAGGUUCUGGUUAAUACCUGGGACUCAUGACGGUACCUGAAGAAUAAGCACCGGCUAACUACGUGCCAGCAGCCGCGGUAAUACGUAGGGUGCAAGCGUUAAUCGGAAUUACUGGGCGUAAAGCGUGCGCAGGCGGUUAUGCAAGACAGAGGUGAAAUCCCCGGGCUCAACCUGGGAACUGCCUUUGUGACUGCAUGGCUAGAGUACGGUAGAGGGGGAUGGAAUUCCGCGUGUAGCAGUGAAAUGCGUAGAUAUGCGGAGGACACCGAUGGCGAAGGCAAUCCCCUGGACCUGUACUGACGCUCAUGCA
RNAcentral lists this ribosomal RNA (693 nucleotides) under uncultured beta proteobacterium. Its description in RNAcentral is "bacterial SSU rRNA". It matches the Rfam family "Bacterial small subunit ribosomal RNA", at positions 59 to 753 of the family's 1533-position model. Lineage: Bacteria; Pseudomonadati; Pseudomonadota; Betaproteobacteria. The record is from RNAcentral.